GGUACAACUCUUGACAAUGGAGAAGGAUCCGAUAAUACUGCUGCUUCUCCUGUUGAUUUGUUACUCGUGCUACAGCAAGGAUCCGUGUGAAAACUUCACAGAAUUUGACAACAUCGAGUCUCGACACCCCACAACGACAGGAAAUUCACUCACCAUCGAUGACAGAAAUCUGUCCACUGGGCGGUAUGCAGCCCCAAGGAAAUUGA
Long non-coding RNA from Haliotis rufescens (red abalone), 206 nucleotides. RefSeq lists it as uncharacterized. Lineage: Eukaryota; Metazoa; Mollusca; Gastropoda; Lepetellida; Haliotidae. The transcript has 3 exons. The record is from RefSeq and is a predicted model, not a curated record.